GACGAACGCUGGCGGCGUGCCUAAUACAUGCAAGUUGAGCGCUGAAGGUUGGUACUUGUACCAACUGGAUGAGCAGCGAACGGGUGAGUAACGCGUGGGGAAUCUGCCUUUGAGCGGGGGACAGCAUUUGGAAACGAAUGCUAAUACCGCAUAAAAACUUUAAACACAAGUUUUAAGUUUGAAAGAUGCAAUUGCAUCACUCAAAGAUGAUCCCGCGUUGUAUUAGCUAGUUGGUGAGGUAAAGGCUCACCAAGGCGAUGAUACAUAGCCGACCUGAGAGGGUGAUCGGCCACAUUGGGACUGAGACACGGCCCAAACUCCUACGGGAGGCAGCAGUGGGGAAUCUUCGGCAAUGGACGAAAGUCUGACCGAGCAACGCCGCGUGAGUGAAGAAGGUUUUCGGAUCGUAAAACUCUGUUGGUAGAGAAGAACGUUGGUGAGAGUGGAAAGCUCAUCAAGUGACGGUAACUACCCAGAAAGGGACGGCUAACUACGUG
This 497-nucleotide ribosomal RNA is filed under the name uncultured bacterium. Its description in RNAcentral is "partial 16S ribosomal RNA". It matches the Rfam family "Bacterial small subunit ribosomal RNA", at positions 28 to 507 of the family's 1533-position model. The record is from RNAcentral.